UAUUAGGUUGGUGCAAAAGCAACUGAGGUUUUUGCCACUGAAAGUAAUGGCAAAAACUGCAAUUACUUUUACACCAACCUAAUAUUU
MicroRNA precursor from Aotus nancymaae (Ma's night monkey), 87 nucleotides. NCBI's taxonomy places the organism in Eukaryota, Metazoa, Chordata, Mammalia, Primates, Aotidae. The record is from Ensembl.